RNAcentral lists this ribosomal RNA (160 nucleotides) under Lacticaseibacillus rhamnosus. RNAcentral describes it as "Lactobacillus rhamnosus partial 16S ribosomal RNA". Lineage: Bacteria; Bacillati; Bacillota; Bacilli; Lactobacillales; Lactobacillaceae. The record is from RNAcentral.
AAAUUAAGGGCAGGUUACCCACGUGUUACUCACCCGUCCGCCACUCGUUCAAAAUUAAAUCAAGAUGCAAGCACCUUUCAAUAAUCAGAACUCGUUCGACUUGCAUGUAUUAGGCACGCCGCCAGCGUUCAUCCUGAGCCAUGAUCAAACUCUGAGGCAC